AGUUGGAUUCGCUAGUAAUCGCGCAUCAGCCAUGGCGCGGUGAAUACGUUCCCGGGCCUUGUACACACCGCCCGUCAAGCCAUGGGAGCCGGGGGCGCCUGAAGUCCGGGACCGCGAGGACCGGCCUAGGGCGAAACUGGUGACUGGGGCUAAGUCGUAACAAGGUAUC
Molecule: ribosomal RNA, 169 nt
Filed under: uncultured bacterium
Lineage: Bacteria
Description: partial 16S ribosomal RNA
Rfam family: Bacterial small subunit ribosomal RNA
Source: RNAcentral